GUAGUCAAGCUACUAAGGGUGCACGGGGGAUGCCUAGGCGCCAAGCGGCGAUGAAGGACGCGGUCGGCUGCGAUAAGCCCCGGGGAGCCGCCUAACAGGCUUUGAUCCGGGGAUCUCCGAAUGGGGAAACCCGUACCGAUUGAAAUCGGUACAUCCCGUGGCAACACGGGAAGCGAACGCGGGGAAGUGAAACAUCUCAGUACCCGCAGGAAAAGAAAGAGGAUUCGACUCCCCCAGUAGCGGCGAGCGAAAAGGGAUCAGCCUAAACCCGAUCUGCGCGAUAGCGUGAGCGCGUUGCAGGUCGGGGGUCGCGGGAAUCGCGCGUCUCGGGGCUCACACCGGGAGCGGAGUGACAAAGGCCAACCUAGCCGAACGGUCAGGAAUGUCCGGCCAUAGAGGGUGAAAGUCCCGUAGGCGAAAGGGGAAGCCCUCCGUUGCGCGAUCUCCCAAGUACCGCCGGUCUCGGGAAAGCUGGCGGGAAUCCGGCCCGACCAUGGGCUAAGGCUAAGUACGGCUUGGCGACCGAUAGUGGACUAAGUAAGGCGACUGAAAGGUGAAAAGAACCCCUGCGAGGGGAGCGAAAAGGACCUGAAACCGUGCAUCUACAUGCUGUCAAAGGGCUAUGCCCCGCAAGGGGAAUGCCCGAUGGCGUGCCUUUUGCUUAAUGAGUCCGGGAGUUACUCUGUCGGGCGAGGCUAACCCCUUCAGGGGGGCAGCCGUAGGGAAACCGAGUCCGAAACGGGCGAUUAGUCCGGCGGAGUAGACCCGAAUGCCAGUGAUCUACCCAUGGCCAGGAUGAACGCUGGGUAACACCAGCGGGAGGUCCGAACGGCACUCUGUUGAAAAAGGGUCCGAUGAGCUGUGGGUAGGAGUUAAAGGCUAAUCAAACUGGCCUAUAGCUGGUUCUCCCCGAAAUAGCUUUAGGGCUAGCCUCGGGACGUAACCGACGGGGGUAGAGAGACUGAAUGGAUUGGAGGGCCCACCAGGCUACUCUGUCCAACCAAACUCCGAAUACCGUCGGCGGAAUCCCGGGAGUCAGAACGUAGGGGAUAAGCUCUACGCUCGAGAGGGAAACAGCCCAGACCGUCAGCUAAGGCCCCUAAACCGUGGCUAAGUGACCAAGGAAGUGGGAGUGCUAAGACAGCUCGGAUGUUGGCUUAGAAGCAGCCACCAUUUAAAAAGUGCGUAACAGCUUACGAGUCGAGCAUUCCUGCGCCAUAAAUGAUCGGGCCUCAAGCCACGUGCCGAAGCUACGGACGGUGGGAAGGAUCCACGUCCAUCCCAUCGUGGUAGGGGAGCGUUCCAUGCCGCGGCGAAGGCGGACCGCGAGGACCGCUGGAGCGCAUGGAAGUGAUUAUCCGGACACGAGUAGCGCGACAAUGCGGGUUAGAAGCCCGCACGCCGUAAGCCUAAGGUUUCCUGGGCAACGUAAAUCGACCCAGGGUUAGCCGGCCCCUAAGGCGAGGCCGAAAGGCGUAGCUGAUGGGAAGCAGGUCAACAUUCCUGCGCCACCUGGAGGAGGUUAUCACCGAUCGGGGGGGUGGAGAAGGCUAUGCAGUCCCGGCGGCUAGAAAUGCCGGGUGACGCGCGUAGACGGGCUGCCUUGGCAAAUCCGGGCGGCUGCCCGAAAGGGACAACGUUGAGACGCGGCACGAGGCAAGCUGAAUGCGAGCCGAAGAUGCAGAUGCCCUGCUCACGAGAAAAGCCUCGACGGGACGAAUCCAGGUGCCCGUACUAAAACCGACACAGGUAGGCGAGGAGAAUAUCCUCAGGCGCUCGAGCGAGACCUCCUUAAGGAACUAGACAAACUAGCCCCGUAACUUCGGGAGAAGGGGUGCCCCGUUUCGUCAAGGGCUUCGCGCCCUGAAGCGAUUUGGGGUCGCAGUGAAAGGGGCUGGGGAACUGUUUACUAAAAACACAGGUCUGUGCCAAGGCGUCAAAGCCGCCGUAUACAGACCGACGCUUGCCCAGUGCUGGAAGGUUAAGGGGUGGGGUUAGCCGCAAGGCGAAGCUCCUAACCGAAGCCCCAGUAAAAGGCGGCCGUAACUAUGACGGUCGAUUUCCGCUACCGGGGGAUCCCCGCGGAUCCCCCACGGGCCGUCAUGAAACCCGGCUGAUGCUGGAAUCCCUGGAGAGGCCGGCCUACACCGGAAGCCCGGUGUGACAAUGGACCGGUCGUGGACGGUGCGUCCGUCCGCCAGGCAAUCAGCAGUCCCCCGCCGCCGCGAGGCGCCGACCGGGAUUCAGAGACUGUACGCCGGGCCCGCAUCGGACAGGUCCCAGCUUGUUCAUCCCCGAUCACGCCCUUCCUUGAAGGAUUGCGUCUCUCUGCGCGAAACGGAACGGACACAACAAACGACAAGGGUCACAUCCCGAUGUCGGGAAGAGACAGUCCGAUCUGCAAGGCGACUUGCAGAGAUGGACGGAAACGAUCCAUCCCGAGCGGCGAGAGCCGCGCGAGCAACACCCGCCUAAGGUAGCGAAGUUCCUUGUCGGGUAAGUUCCGACGCGCAUGAAUAGCGUAAUCACUUGGCCAUUGUCUCGAGGAGGUGCUCGGCGAAACUGCAGCAGCGGUGAAGAUACCGCUUCCCCGCCACUAGACGAAAAGACCCCGUGAACCUUUACUGCACCCUCGUAUGGGCUUUUGGUUGAACCUGCGUAGGAUAGGUGGGAGGCGCUGAAGCACGCCUUUUGGGGCGUGUGGAGCCGACGGUGAAAUACCACUCUUGUUCAAUUAGAAUCCUAACCCUGUUCCGUGAAUCCGGGCAGGGGACAGUGCGAGGCGGGCAGUUUAACUGGGGCGGUUUCCUCCCAAAGCGUAACGGAGGAGUCCAAAGGUCCCCUCAGCGCGGUUGGCAAUCGCGUGACGAGCACAAGGGUAUAAGGGGGCUUGACUGCGAGACCUAUUAAGUCGAGCAGAUGGGAAACCAGGGCCUAGUGAUCCGGUGGUCCCGUAUGGAAGGGCCAUCGCUCAUCAGACAAAAGGUACUCCGGGGAUAACAGGCUUAUCUCCCCCAAGAGUCCACAUCGACGGGGAGGUUUGGCACCUCGAUGUCGGCUCAUCGCAUCCUGGGGCUGGAGAAGGUCCCAAGGGUUCGGCUGUUCGCCGAUCAAUAGCGGUACGUGAGCUGGGUUUAGACCGGCGUGAGCCAGGUCGGUCUCUAUCUGUGGUGGGCGGAGGAGGAUUGAGGAGUGUUGACCCUAGUACGAGAGGAUCGGGUUGAACGGACCUCUGGUGCGCCAGCUGUCCCGCUCGGGGCACUCGCUGGGUAGCUAUGUCCGGCAGCGAUAACCGCUGAAAGCAUCUAAGCGGGAAGCGCUCUCCAAGAUGAGUCCUCCCUGAAGGGCCCUCGAAGACUACGAGGUUGAUAGGCCGGGCGUGUAAGAGCGGCAACGCUCUUAGCUUACCGGUACUAAUCGCCCGUUCGGCUUGGCU
RNAcentral lists this ribosomal RNA (3436 nucleotides) under Planctomycetota bacterium. Its description in RNAcentral is "Planctomycetes bacterium (sediment metagenome) 23S ribosomal RNA". It matches the Rfam family "Bacterial large subunit ribosomal RNA". Lineage: Bacteria; Pseudomonadati; Planctomycetota. The record is from RNAcentral.